AGUGAUGCUAUCCACGAGCUUGGACUCACGAGAAAUAAAAUAUCACGACCCUUCUGUUUCCUUCGCGCGACAUCGGCAAAAAAAUCUCUCCUUUCCUUCCUUGCGGUCUCCGUCCUCAUCGUCCCCGAGCAGAGCGCUCGCUCGAUCUAGUUAUCCCUCAAUUAAUUAGAGCUCCCUCAUUGUGAUAGUGCUUCAUCACCAGUUCAAUUGCAUAGAUCCGGUCGAAUCAUAAGGAGAGAAGCAAUUGCCAUGGCGCUGUCGAGCGGCGGCCGAGGGGAGAAGAACGGCGCCAUGGCAGCUGCGGGGAGAAGACGGCGCUGUCGAGCAGGUGGCCACACGGAGACCAGCGGCGCCAUCGAGCGGCGGCCGUGCGGAGAAGGACAGCGCCGUGGCAGCCUCGGGGUGAAGGAUGGCCCCGUCAAGCUUGCGAAGGCGGCCGCGCAGAGACUGGCGGGGCCAUCGAGUGGCGGCCGCGCGGAGAAGGACGGCGCCGUGGCUGCCGCAGCGAGGACGGCGCCUUCGAGCAGGACCAAAACUUGACAAGGAUGGCGACAUCCGGCAGCCUGCCGCGCGGAGAACCCAUCCUCUGCUUGCUUCCGCCCGCAGUCCACGUGCAGCAGGCAUCGAGGAAGCAUCACUUUAGACACACACUAUGGAGGGCCGCCGCGGCGUCCGACCGCCGCCGCUGCAACUCAUUGUCCGACCACCGCCGUGACUUGUUGUGCUCGGAGGUCUCCCCGUGUCGUUGCUGUCCUAAGGGUGCACGUUCGCGUGCGUGAUGGGGGCAGCGAGGAGGAAGAAGGACGUCCGUCAGGAUGAGCAAAUGGAAAUCGUGACAGAAUCCUAGUUUAGUAUAACUUGAUUCUUUCGGUGCUAUUCCAGGGAACCGAGAUUUUUUAAUAGUAUUUCAGUGAUAUUUUUAAAUUUUUUUUAAGGAUUGGAAUAUCUCUAAAUAGAUAGUUUUGGAUAUGAGCGCUUGGAGACUAGUUAUCAAUGUGUCUAAAUUUUGAACUUAUUUUUUUCGGGUUUCAUCUCUAGCCUACCCCAAUUUGCUUGGGAAAAAACGCUAUGUUGUUGUAUUUGAAAUAUUGAAUAUAGACUAAUUAUAAAAUUAAUUACUGAAUUUGUCUGUAAA
Panicum virgatum (switchgrass) is the source of this 1135-nucleotide long non-coding RNA. RefSeq lists it as uncharacterized. NCBI's taxonomy places the organism in Eukaryota, Viridiplantae, Streptophyta, Magnoliopsida, Poales, Poaceae. The transcript has 2 exons. The record is from RefSeq and is a predicted model, not a curated record.